CAAUAACAAACCAAGCCGCGGCGGUGUCCGCGGCCCUGCCGAGCCCUCGGCGUUGCCUCAGAAUCCCCCAGUCGCCUGGGCCCCUCGGCUCUGACAGGCCGCGGCCUUCUGUCCCCCGGCCCCAGACCCAGAGCCGAGGGGCCUGCUCGCGUCCUUGUCCGCCCGGACCCCUCCCUGCCUCCUAGAGUUCGGGGCCGCGGCGGGCGGGCGCCCGGGACGCCGGCGGUUGUGUCGGCUUAGCGGUGCCGAAUGGGCGGUUGGUAACCGCUGCCGAGGACUAGGCGGCGGCGGAAGAUGGUGCCGGGGGUCGCUGGCUCUGCUGCUGCCGCCGGCGAAGGAGGAGGCGUUGCCGGUGUGGCAGACCUUAAGCAUGCCAUUCAAAGCAAAUACAAGAUUGCUAUUCAACACCAGGUGCUGGUGGUCAAUGGAGGAGAAUGCAUGGCUGCAGAUCGAAGAGUGUGUACCUACAGUGCUGGGACGGAUACAAAUCCAAUUUUUCUUUUUAACAAAGAAAUGAUCUUAUGUGAUCGUCCACCUGCUAUUCCUAAAACUACCUUUUCGACAGAAAAUGACAUGGAAAUAAAAGUUGAAGAAUCUCUUAUGAUGCCUGCAGUUUUUCAUACUGUUGCUUCAAGGACACAGCUUGCAUUGGAAAUGUAUGAAGUUGCCAAGAAACUUUGUUCUUUUUGUGAAGGUCUUGUACAUGAUGAACAUCUUCAACACCAAGGCUGGGCUGCAAUCAUGGCCAACCUGGAGGACUGUUCAAAUUCAUACCAAAAGCUACUUUUCAAGUUUGAAAGUAUUUAUUCAAAUUAUCUGCAGUCCAUAGAAGACAUCAAGUUAAAACUUACUCAGAACUGCAGUUUCAGUAAUGGCCAAGAUUCCACUGUUGGAGUGCCUAACCAGACAUAGUUACAGAGAAUGUUUGGGAAGACUGGAUUCUUUACCUGAACAUGAAGACUCAGAAAAAGCUGAGAUGAAAAGAUCCACUGAACUGGUGCUCUCUCCUGAU
Molecule: long non-coding RNA, 1012 nt
Filed under: Homo sapiens (human)
Lineage: Eukaryota; Metazoa; Chordata; Mammalia; Primates; Hominidae
Description: long non-coding RNA NONHSAT217027.1
Source: RNAcentral